Molecule: ribosomal RNA, 505 nt
Filed under: uncultured bacterium
Lineage: Bacteria
Description: bacterial SSU rRNA
Rfam family: Bacterial small subunit ribosomal RNA
Source: RNAcentral
AAUCAACGCUGGCGGCGUGCCUAACACAUGCAAGUCGAACGCGAAAAUGGAGCAAUCCAUGAGUAGAGUGGCAAACGGGUGAGUAACACGUGGGUGACCUGCCUUCGAGUGGGGGAUAACGUCCCGAAAGGGACGCUAAUACCGCAUAAUAUGCUGUCUUUUUAAGAGAGAGACAUCAAAGCCGGGGACCGCAAGGCCUGGCGCUUGAAGAGGGGCCCGCGCCUGAUUAGCUAGUUGGUGGGGUAAUGGCUCACCAAGGCAACGAUCAGUAUCCGGCCUGAGAGGGCGGACGGACACACUGGGACUGAGACACGGCCCAGACUCCUACGGGAGGCAGCAGUGGGGAAUUGUUCGCAAUGGGCGCAAGCCUGACGACGCAACGCCGCGUGGAGGAUGAAGAUCUUCGGGUCGUAAACUCCUUUCGAUCGAGACGAAUGGCCCUUGGGAUAAUACCCUGAGGGAGUGACGGUACCGAGAGAAGAAGCCCCGGCUAACUCCGUGCCAG